ACUCCUACGGGAGGCAGCAGUGGGGAAUAUUGCACAAUGGGGGAAACCCUGAUGCAGCCAUGCCGCGUGUGUGAAGAAGGCCUUCGGGUUGUAAAGCACUUUCAGUAGGGAGGAAGGUAGUGUAGUUAACACCUGCAUUAUUUGUACGUUACAUACAGAAGAAGCACCGGCUAACUCCGUGCCAGCAGCCGCGGUAAGUACGGAGGGUGCGAGCGUUAAUCGGAAUUACGUGGGCGUAAAGCGCAUGCAGGCGGCCUGUUAAGUCAGAUGUGAAAGCCCGGGGUCUUAACCGUCGGAAUUGCAUUUGAAACUGGCAGGCUAGAGUCUUGGUAGAGGGGUUAGGAAUUUCAGGUGUAGCGGUGAAAUGCGUAGAGAUCGUGAAGGAAUACCGAGUGGCGAACGGCGGCCCCCGUGGACAAGACUGACGCUCAGAUGCGAAAGCGUGGGAGCAAACGAGGAUUAGAUACCCCUGGUAGACUGUCA
Molecule: ribosomal RNA, 483 nt
Filed under: uncultured bacterium
Lineage: Bacteria
Description: bacterial SSU rRNA
Rfam family: Bacterial small subunit ribosomal RNA
Source: RNAcentral